This 253-nucleotide ribosomal RNA is filed under the name uncultured bacterium. RNAcentral describes it as "partial 16S ribosomal RNA". It matches the Rfam family "Bacterial small subunit ribosomal RNA", at positions 524 to 776 of the family's 1533-position model. RNAcentral also lists the same sequence under 1 other name. The record is from RNAcentral.
UACGUAGGGAGCAAGCGUUGUCCGGAAUCAUUGGGCGUAAAGCGCGCGUAGGCGGCUCGAUCAGUCUGUUGUGAAAGUCAAAGGCUCAACCUUUGAAUGCCGAUGGAUACUGUCGAGCUAGAGUCCGGAAGAGGCGGGUGGAAUUCCUGGUGUAGCGGUGGAAUGCGCAGAUAUCAGGAGGAACACCAACGGCGAAGGCAGCCCGCUGGGACGGUACUGACGCUAAGGCGCGAAAGCGUGGGGAGCGAACAGG